GUUUCUGUAGUGUAGUGGUUAUCACGUUCGCCUCACACGCGAAAGGUCCCUGGUUCGAAACCAGGCAGAAACA
Cariama cristata (Red-legged seriema) is the source of this 73-nucleotide non-coding RNA. The record is from Rfam. Lineage: Eukaryota; Metazoa; Chordata; Aves; Cariamiformes; Cariamidae.